AUUAUUCACUAAACAAAUUAUUCACUAAGACAAGGUCACGUGAUGUUUUUGUUUACACUUUUGAUAAGAUCAAUGACCCCUGCGAUAUUGUGAAAUCAAGUCAAGGUCGUGUGAUGUUUUCGUUUACAUAUUUCAGAAAGUUUAUGAUGUGAUGUCAUGAUGAGGUCACGAAGGGUCAAGUGAGAUCAACAACAUGAUACUAAACUUAUAAGAUGUGAGUUUUGAUAGUUUAAAAUCUUGUUUCAUAGUACAUUGCUUUAGUUCCAACACUCUACUUCUGAAAUAUUGACUUGUAGUAUGAAGUCAUAUCAAUAACUAUAUUUGUAUUUUAAAUAUGAUCGAAUUUUACUUCAACUUAAAUAUUCUGAAUAUGUUACCUUUAGGUCGGCCACUUUUGCUUUAAUUUUACAAAGUAUAUCUUUGAAAAUUUUUGAAGUAUUUCUGUUUAUUUACACAGUGUUUCAUUUGAAAUCAAUGUGACAGAGUGGAAUGUAAGUAUGUAUUCGCUAAAUAGCUCAAAAAAAUAUACCCACAUUCCAUGCUCGGUGGUUUUCCAUGAAAAACUUAAUUUUGUAAUUUUAAAUUUAGGAAUGGCGCGAUCACAACUCAUAAAAGUUGCGCGCUCCUAACACGAUUUUAAUUACUCAGCAUUUCGUUAUGCGGCUAAUGCUGUUACUCGCGUUAAUUCAAUUACACAAGUUGUCAGUCUAUCAUGUCAUCCGUAAGCGAUUUACCAAUGGCAAAACGAACGCAGCACAAAAAUAAAAGAAACAAAUAAAAUAAAAGACGUGAAAAAAAUACAUUUGGUCCCACUUGUUUAGCUUAGUGCUUCUAUUAAUUCUGAAAUUUAUGUUGACGUAUUUAUUUUUAGCGCAUUUAGACAUAGAAUUGCUGACUCUUUGAUUGUUUAAUUUUUUUGUUAGAAUUAUGUUGAUUUCAGUGUAGUUUUGUGUCCACACGAUUUAAAUUAUAAUGCGCUACAACAUAAAUUUAUAUGUAUGAAUUUACAUAUAUAAUGUAAUAUUUUAUAAAAAACCUCACAGUAAAUAAGCAAACGCUUUUCUUUGUGUUCAUCUUUAAUUUAAACCGAAAUGACAAAAGCAUUUUUGGGGCAAGUGUAUCGAAAUAUUGUGUGGCUUUGUGUGGCACAAUGGCUUUUUUCCAUAUAAAAGCCAUAAUUCCAGAGGCUCAUAAAUAAGAAUCUUCGAACUAAUUCUUAUAUGAAAACGCGAAAGAUCAAAGCUGGAUAGUUUCUGUUGAGGAACCACCGGUAAUUUUGCAAAUCGGACUGACGUUUGGAACGACUUGGCGCAUUUUAUUUUGAGAUCUUAAAUUGAAAUCAUACAAAAUACAGCUUGUGCAAGAACUGAUCUUGAAUGCCUGAAAUUGAAGAUCGUGAUCUCGGCGACAUGACAUCAAUCAAGAUUAUCAGAUAAUUUAGGCCGGUCCUUUGACCGCCAAGAUCAUGUGAUAUCAGACCAUUAGACUUUUUCCUGUGGGGCGUCAUCACAAGAGCCAUAAAGUUCAAAUUCUUCUGCCGAAGUGAUGUAAUAUUUAUUUGUUUCAAUCACACGAGUUCUCCGCAGCAGGCUUAAUAGCUUCUGGGUAUCGCUGCUGCUAAUAAAGAUUUCAAAGCCCUUGAUUUUGUGCAGUUGUUGGAUUCUAUUUUAUUCAUAGCAAACUAACUCUGCCUUAAAAUAAAAAUAUAAUAAAUAAAAUGAGAUCGGAGACUGUUACUAAGAUUAAGAGUGGUGUUUCUGCUUCGGAGUUAGUAAAAAUAAUUUUUUUAUAAUUUAAUUAAAAAGUACGAAACGAAGUAUUAUAUUGACAAUUUAAAGAUAAAUGUGCGAAAAACGGUGAUACGAAAAACCACAAUGAAUCUCGUUAAUAUUGAAGCAACAUCGAAUUAGCAUAUUGCAAUAACAGUCAAUGAUCUUACAUUGUUCAGGAGCAUAAAAAAAACUUACAUAAACACCUACGUUGUGCAUAAAGUGGUCGACAUUUCGAAACCAACAAAGCUAGUCCCACUCAUUUGUCUUAGAUUACAUCAUAAAGUCUUUACAUUUUUGGUAAAAUGUUUUGUGGACAGAUAAGGCUGUAUUUUAGUUCCAGAGCUCACUUAGUAGAUGCUUUAUAUAUUUACCGAGUGAGAAGAAAGGAACAGUUCAUCCGCCAAACAUAGUCGGAGAUGACAUAAAGAAUUUUUGGAGAAGUUUUCAUUUCUUGUCUUUUGGAGAUGGAGAUUUGGUACUAAUAUACCCCCUCAUAUUGUUAUUAUCUGUAAAAAAUUACAUUUUCAUAGCUUUAUUUUUGGCAAGGUUAUAGCAUCGGCUAACGCCAUUUUGUGGGCAUGGCAAUUGUCCGAUUUCGCCCAUCUUCAAUACCAACCCUCAUUCGGUGCAUCUCAAGUUUCAUAUACAAGUUGUCCAUUCUCAUGUUCACGUUGCUCAAGUUAUCGCUUGCACGGACGAAUGGGCAGACAGACAACAGAAUUUCAACUCUACUCACCACCCUGAUCACUUGGAUAUAUAUAACACAAACAACCGUUAUAUGAACAAAACUGUAAUAUUCUGUGCAACGAGGUGCCUAAGUAUAAAAAGUAAUAAAAUACAGGAAGAAAUGAAAUAUGUAUUGGAUCUAUAGAUUUUAUCGUCGACGAAUGACACAAGUUCAAAUCUUUAUUAUGGAUUGAAUAUGCAACUUUUAUUUCUUUGCAAACCUGACCAAUAACCUUGAAUAAAAAAUAACAUGAAAUGAGCUAAAACAAAAAAAAUGUUUGCUUAAUUAGUCCGACUUUGAAAAACACAAGCUAACCGCCAAAAGAAAGUAAAGCGAAAACAAAAGUUUGCAGAAUGGAAUGUUGUUUUGACAUCAGCACUUGAAGAAUUAUGUGCCAUUCUUUCAUUGAACAUAAUUUGUGGCUGAGUUUUAUGGCCUGUUUCAAUUAAGAUGAAAAUUGCGUAACUGUUACACUCUCGCAACAUGUUACAUGAAGAAACUAAUUGGGUUAGUUAUGUCUCUCUAACCUUGAAGAUGGUAAAAUUUAACACACAGCUUACCCUCAAUUAGAAGUAAGAUAUUUUCAUACAAUUAUAAAAUCGGUUCACAUUCUCACCUAACCAUCAUUGAAGUCUUUUAGUUUACUUUACCGAGAAAAUUUAAAAUAACUUAUGUAAUUUUGAGAGUAAAUAACUCUCAACAAACUCAGCGCUACUGAGAUUACAAAAAAUGGUAUAAAAUAAUUUGUUAAAUUAAAAAAAAAAACAUAGGCAUUAAUUUUAUUAGAGCCCCGUUUAUCGAUUAAGUCUCUCGUCAGAGGGUAUAACUCUACCGUAGA
Zeugodacus cucurbitae (melon fly) is the source of this 3337-nucleotide long non-coding RNA. RefSeq lists it as uncharacterized. The transcript has 3 exons. Lineage: Eukaryota; Metazoa; Arthropoda; Insecta; Diptera; Tephritidae. The record is from RefSeq and is a predicted model, not a curated record.